UUUUGUAUUAAAAAAUUAAAUGGAUGAAAUAUGAAGUUUUAUUAAAAAAAAGGGGUGAAAAGAACAAAGUUUUGUCCAUCUUUGUUCAUCAUAGCUGAAAGUUAGAGAAGAGAAAGGAGAGGAGAAAGCUCUUGAGUAUUCGGUCAUUAGGAGGAGGAAAAUUGAAGGUAAGUUCUUGGUACCUUGCUUCUAUUUUGAGGUUCAUGAGUUCUUCUUGAUUCUACCUUAACUCUUGAAGUAUAUUUUGAUUUUUAGUUGUGUUGUGAGCAUUUAGUCAUGAAUUAAAAUGAAGUAAAUGGUUGUUGUUUCAUGUUCUUUUGAUGAAAAAUGAAAGAUAGGUGAAGUUGAGCCAAACAAAUGAGCAUGCAUGUGCCUUAGAUGUUAAAGGGAAAAAUCAGCUAACAUGUUUUGCUUUAAAAUGAUGAAAUGGAGAUUAUACUUAAGUAAAAUCAUAGAUAUGUGAUGAUUGAUUGGUGAUAUACAUGUUUAAAUAACAUGCAUGCAAGGUAUGUGUGAAAGAGUGAUUUGGUAAUAAAUCUGCUUGGGACAGCAGCAGUAAUGUGACUUUGGAAAAUCACCAUAAAUUGUGGGAGAAGAAUUAGAAGCUGAAUAAAUUAUGUAAUUAAAGCUUAUUGAGUCUAGUUUCUAAUGAAAUAAACAAGAACAUAUUUUGAAUUCUGUACAAUGAGAAAUUUUAUUCGUAAUGAAGGGUGGUCAGAUUAGUCAAACAGUGAAACAUGGGAAACUUUUAGAAAAAUCUGGUAUUGAUUGGCCAAACCAAAAAUUCUGAAAAUUUUAUGGAUAGAAGAUAUAUGAGUCUAUUUUCAGGCAAAAUUAAUGGAACUUGAUUUGGAGUUUCGUAGCUCCAGUUAUAAAUGAUUUAGUGACUGUCGCUCAGGAAGACAGCUUGCAGUGAAAUUAUGAUUAUGUGGUAAACAUUGACAAAAAUUUGUUAAUGAGUUGCUUAUUGUUUUCUUAUAAGCUUACUAUGAUCUGUAGGUGUGGUUGGCCGAAUAUUGUAAGGGGUUAAUACGUAGUUCGUAUUUGAAUAGUUAGAUUAACGUGUUAGUAAUCCAAUUGUAGGCGGUUCGUGUGUGGAUCUCGUCAGCAUAUCGUCGCAAACAGGUGUGUAACUAACACCCUCUUUCUUAGUCUAGAUCGGCAAAAGCCGAAAUGCCGAAAACUGGUAUUUUGUAGAUUUGCGAGUGUGCGAAUGCUCGUGAGGUAAAUCGAUUAAUGUUUUUGGUAAGCUGCAAUGUUUGGACUGCAAAGUGCAUGAUUUCUAUGCCCUCGAUAUUUUUGGGCUUAAUGGGCCAAAAUUGGAAUGAUGGGCCAACGGGCCCAAUCCGGUAAGAAACCUCGGUACGUGAUUCUGUUAGUACGUGAAAGGUAGGAAUAUGCAUGAAAAACCCUAAAAUAGAUAAAUUACUGAAAUACCUUUAAAAGUGGAAAAUUUACAGUUUUACCCCCUAGGAAAUAAAUUACCGAAAUACCCCUAGGGUUAAAUUGACCUAAAUGCAUGUUUGACUGUUGUUAUUUACUGCAUGCCAUGUUGUUAUUAUCUGAUGCAUGGGACUGGGAUAUUGACGGAGGAAGUACUGAAAGUGGCUUGUCCACGUACUGGAGGCUUUGCCUCAAUUUACUGUUAACUGAGCAGCAAGGCUGCAACUGUGGAGUGUUGGGCUGGGUGGCUUGAGCUAUUCCCCACAUGGAGUGUAUGGCUGGUACGGGUGGAGUGUAAUGGUUGGUGGGUUGAGUAGUCUCCCCAAAUGGGCUUGCAUAUGUUUACUGAUGUUGUAUGUAUUUUGAAAUGGGCCUAUGGGCCAUACUGUUAUCUAAAUAAGGGGCUAAGGCCCAGUUUAUUGUAAUCUGAAAAGGGCUCUGGCCCAGUACCACUGUUACCUGAAUGGGCUUAGGCCCAAUAGGCUUGAGCUGACUUGGGCUUUGAAUGGGUUUUCCUUACACACUGAGUUUCCCCAAACUCACCCCUUUUAUUUUCAUCCACGCAGGAAAUCCCCAACCAUAGUGGGCUUGGAGUUGUGAGGGAAUUCGGAGUGGCCACCCGUUCUGAAAGUUUGAUUUUCUUCUGGUGAACUGGACAUCCUUUUAUUUACGUUUGAAGUUUUUGGGCUUUUAAAUGUAAUAAGGCCGCUUAAUUAUUUUUGAUGGUUUUAAUAUGUAUUACUAAGAUAGGUAAUACUUAUUUUAACUGUUGAAAUUGGAUAGCUUUAGGGCGCGUUUUCAAAAACAACAGUUGAUUUCAAAAUAACACGACAACAAGCAAAGCUUUCGCAAUGAAAGUAAUUUUCCAAAAUUAAUCACUUUUCCUAAAAAUGACUUAAUCAAAUCGGUUUCCUAGAAAUAUCCAUGACGUUAAGGUGUGGCAAUGGCGGUAUGCAUGUCUAGGAUUGGAUCCGAAGGGAGCUUGGUACUUAAGCAGUCCGAUGGACUCACCACCUCUUUUCCGGUUUCCUACCUGGUGCACAGCUUCCAUUCACUUUAACCCUUAAUGAAUUAAUCUUUUGAACAUCAAGUACGAUUUUCUGGACUUAGAAUGGAAAUUUUUUUUUAAACAUUUUUUAUGUGGCAUGCCGGAUCCAGCCAUAACUUCUGGGCCGGGUUUGGGGUGUUACAUGAAAAUUAAUGAAACAUUGAUAUAUUUGAUAAAAUGGGAAGAAAUCUCGGUUGAAUGAAAGGAAAAUUCGAUGGAUCUCUGAAAAGGAAUUGACGGUAAAAAGGAUCUAGCCCGGACGGGUGAUCCUAUCCUGAUAUAGCCCUCCCGAAGAAUAUGUGUAAAAUGGAUUUAGCCCGGACGGGUAAUCCGAAUUAGGGUCUAAAUUUAGCCUGGACUGGUAAUUCAGAUCCAAGCUGAUUAGAGUAAUUGUCGUUGCAGGGGAUUUAGCCUGGACUGGUAAUCCCGACAAUACUCUAUGAGUUUAUAUUGCAGGGGAUUUAGUCUGGACUGGUAAUCCCGCUGCAAGGUUGAGGUUCGCGGGAGUGUGCUCUCUGAAAUGGAUAUGUGCACACAUGAAUAUGAAUUGACGGACCCGGAAAUAUACACUUAAAGUGUAUCUCUGAAAAUCCAUCGAAAAUUCCAAGAAAUUCAACGGGAUAAAUAUGGAAAAAUAACAAGAAAAUGGAAAUCAUGGUAUUGACGAGCUCAUCAAUCAUGGUAUAUAUUAUUGGUACAUGGAAAUUAUUGUACUAACUUGAAUGUUGAGUUUGUGCGUAUUAGGGUAAUAAUGCAUUGAAUGGAUAUAUGGAUGUUUAUUGUAUUGUAUUGAAAAUAUUAGGUAAGUAUAAUUCUUGUUACAUGAGCUUACUAAGCACGAAGUGCUUACCCCGUUUCCUUUUUCCCUGUUUUGUAGUGUUAAGAGCUCGGAGGUCGGAUUUGGUUGGAGACACAUCACACUGUCAACCUCAGGAUUUCGGUAUAUAAAGAAACUUUAUUUUGGAAAUCAAUGGCAUGUAUAAGCUAACAAAGUAAAUGUUAACGUGAAAUGAAUGUAAAGUUAGCCAUUAGUAUGGUUAACAAACCUGGUUAUAGAUAUGUGAUGACGUUAUCUUAUAUAAAUGCAUGAAUCUAUCAUGAAAAUAUGUUGAAUUGAUUUGGUUGAUGUGGACUGG
Molecule: long non-coding RNA, 3627 nt
Filed under: Gossypium barbadense (sea-island cotton)
Lineage: Eukaryota; Viridiplantae; Streptophyta; Magnoliopsida; Malvales; Malvaceae
Description: long non-coding RNA (GBAR_LNC000325)
Source: RNAcentral